This 510-nucleotide ribosomal RNA is filed under the name uncultured Glomus. RNAcentral describes it as "SSU rRNA". It matches the Rfam family "Eukaryotic small subunit ribosomal RNA", at positions 569 to 1081 of the family's 1831-position model. Lineage: Eukaryota; Fungi; Glomeromycota; Glomeromycetes; Glomerales; Glomeraceae. The record is from RNAcentral.
AGCAGCCGCGGUAAUUCCAGCUCCAAUAGCGUAUAUUAAAGUUGUUGCAGUUAAAAAGCUCGUAGUUGAAUUUCGGGGUCAGCAAGUUGGUCGUGCCACUGGUAUGCACUGGCUUUGCUGAUUCCUCCUUCUUGAAGAACUGUAAUGCUAUUAAUUUAGUGUUGCAGGGAAACAGGACUGUUACUUUGAAAAAAUUAGAGUGUUUAAAGCAGGCUAACGCUUGAAUACAUUAGCAUGGAAUAAUGAAAUAGGACGUUUGAUCCUAUUUUGUUGGUUUCUAGGAUUGACGUAAUGAUUAAUAGGGAUAGUUGGGGGCAUUAGUAUUCAAUUGUCAGAGGUGAAAUUCUUGGAUUUAUUGAAGACUGACUACUGCGAAAGCAUUUGCCAAGGAUGUUUUCAUUAAUCAAGAACGAAAGUUAGGGGAUCGAAGACGAUCAGAUACCGUCGUAGUCUUAACCAUAAACUAUGCCGACUAGGGAUCGGAUGAUGUUAAUUUUUAAUGACUCAUUC